Molecule: ribosomal RNA, 253 nt
Filed under: Flavonifractor plautii
Lineage: Bacteria; Bacillati; Bacillota; Clostridia; Eubacteriales; Oscillospiraceae
Description: partial 16S ribosomal RNA
Rfam family: Bacterial small subunit ribosomal RNA
Source: RNAcentral
UACGUAGGUGGCAAGCGUUAUCCGGAUUUACUGGGUGUAAAGGGCGUGUAGGCGGGAUUGCAAGUCAGAUGUGAAAACUGGGGGCUCAACCUCCGGCCUGCAUUUGAAACUGUAGUUCUUGAGUGCUGGAGAGGCAAUCGGAAUUCCGUGUGUAGCGGUGAAAUGCGUAGAUAUACGGAGGAACACCAGUGGCGAAGGCGGAUUGCUGGACAGUAACUGACGCUGAGGCGCGAAAGCGUGGGGAGCAAACAGG